AAACACAUAUGUCUUCUUCGGGUCAAGAGGACAGGACUCAAAGUUUGAUAACGCCGUCUGAAAUUUUCGAGCUUCCCGCCCCUGCGUUUUAAAAUGACCGCCUAAGGAAUGGCAAAGAAAAAGGGGGGUUACAUUUAACAUCUUAUCAUCAUCAAUUGCAGCUUCUAACCCAACCAGACUCAACUAAAGUUGGAGAGAGAAUUUAGAGAGAAAAAGUGAAACCCCUCCCCCACAAAAAAAAUCGAGGGCUGCUUCAAGUCCGGCCGGAGCCGAAGCCGAAGCCGAAGUUGUAGCGGAAGCCGAGGAAGACAAACGGGACAGACAAUCAAGGUUUUGAUUGGCGGGAGACAAUUUGGUGUUCUGCUAUGGCCUUCCGCUCCUUGUUCUGCUAUGCAAAGGGUUUGGAUCAGGGAGUUAAAUCUUAAUUUUCUGUGUGCUUUUCACUCUGCGGAGCUUGUUGAUCCCAUUUGGGUCUUGUUUUACUGAACGUUUUGAUAUUGUUAGUUGUCUCAAUAAUUCGCGGAUUUUGCUCCCAUUUGUGGCUUAUUUUUAGGUUCACAUCUGCUUUAGAGAUUUCAUGGGCACUGUGAAUUGCCUGGUUGGCUCUCUGUUUGGUGUGCUGGAAAUUUCACUGAGCAGAACUUGACAUUCCAACUAAGGAAUACCUUGCUUAUGCACACGUGAGUGCUAGUAUAUAUGUGUGUAUUAAAAAAAGAGAAAAAAAAGUGACGUGAGAGGGAGAAGGAGAGCGGAGGGGUUGACGAGGUCGCAAGUGACCUCAAUUGGCAAGAGUCGCCCUAACCCUCCUAACUCGAAAUUGACCUUUCUUAUUUUUCUUUUUAUUGGGGGUAGGAGGCGAUAAAUCUAAGAAAGAGAAUGCAAGUAUAUAUAUAUAGCACAAGUAAUAUAGAAUGAGUAUGAGUCUCGUUCUUGUUAAAGGUGUUUCGCAUCAAACUCGGAAGACUGGAAAGACUCGAAGACUCGAAAGUGAGAACGAAGAUCGACCGAAGAUAAGGAAUCUGCGAAGUGUACUGAGGUAGAUAUUGGAGUGUGCUUAGGCACACUUUAACUGAAGCGCCAGAAUUUUGGUACCGAGGCACCAUUUUUUCGUGUUGAGACACGGCUAGUCGAGUGCAAGAUAUACUCGUGAUGAUGUUUCCAUUUUGGUCUAAUUUCGUUGCAACUCAUAGAUAACUUUUUAGACGGUCUUGUACAUAUAUUUAGUGAUAAAUAUUUUGAGAUAUAUAUUAUGGAUAUGAGUCUUGUAAUCUAUAUAUAGAGAUAUUCUUGAAGGACUAUGUAAGACGGUGAAGAUCAUGAGAAAGAACUUAGUAUGAGACUCAUCUUAGUGAGAGUAGGUCGGGUUUGGACUGGGGAAAAUAUGAGUGUGAUCUCGUUGUAAUUUCUUUUGUAUGAUCUAGUGGAUACUCUUAGUCCUGUCAAAUUAUACAUGUGUCGUUUCUAUAUUCGUUUUACUUGUUUCUCGAGUUGGUCGAAUCGUACUUAGGUCUCAACAAUUCCCAUGAUGAUUGAUCAACGCUACCACUAAUUAUCAAGAUCAAAACAGUCGGUUUCUAUUCAAACUAUCACUUUUUAGGUGAUUUAAUUAAACUAAUAUUAAGUUGAAAACUUAUUAAUUACUAAAAUUCAAUAAUGAUAAAUCCCUUAGAGCGUACAACUUCCCCUAAAGUUCAUUUUUACUACGAUUACUUCACUUGCUAUCGACUAACUGAUUCUAUUGUUGCUUAUUAACUCUAUGAAAAUAGAGUUAUUCGGUGCCUUUCACGAGUUUAUUUGGAGUUAGUUUCUAGAGUUUAGACUAGUUUUAGUUGGCUUAUAGUUUAAUUUACAGUCAUUUAUAUUUUGGUAGGAUUUUGUGCUCUGUUUGUUUUCAGGAUUUGAUUUUAAGAUUUUAACUCUAACUUUAAUUCUACUCAUUACACAACAAAAAUCAACUCUUCAAAGUAAAAAAGAUGGGUCACAUACAUAAAUCCACAUACAACUCCAUUAUACUCAAUUCAAUUUUUAAUAUUAAAUUCUAUUAACUAUUCAUUACUUUUUCACAAUUUUUCUCAUAAUUCAACACCACAAUCAUUACAACCUAAUUAAAAUCAAAAUCAACCAAUUAAAAUCAAAAUUCAACUCUCAAACCAAACACAACCUUAGAGUCUUUAAUGGUUUUUGGUGUUUUUAUGUAUUUUGCAGUUAGUUCAUUAAUCGAGUUUUUACAACCUCUAAGUUUUGUGUGUUUUGAACAGGUUAAACUGGAGAUAAUUGAUGCAAAUUGUAUAUGCUUUGAAAGCUUAUCGAUUUAGGAGCGCAGCAGUUCUAACGGUUCGUCAAUUGGAGUUCGGACGAGGAAGAUAUGAUCAAAUCAAGUUUGGCGUGUUUCUAGAAAACGGAGAAUUGCUGCUAUAGUCACGAAACAGACAGUCAAUUGAUCGUUUGAAGUCACUGGUGGACCCCACACCCCCUUCCCUGGUUGACUGUUUGACUGCUAGAAAAAUCUACCUGCACCCCCCUGCAUCUCCUCUUCUGUUAGUUCGAGCACAGCCAAGGCAGGCGUCCCAAUCCAAGCCCCUACCACUUCUUUCUCUUUUUAAGAGGUGAAGAUUGCGCUUUCCCUCUUCCAUACCCAAGUUGAAGUUGUUGGUAUUGCUCUGCAACUGAGAUGGCUCCCAAGGGUGAAGGCAUAGUUGAGUGGACUGACGAGCUAGAGAAUGCUUUCAUUGACAUUAUGGUUGAUAAGAUCCAAAGGACGCAUACAACAUCUUGGAAAUGGAAGGAUUGGGAACAGAUGAAUACGGAACUUGAAGAGAAAUUUCCUAGUGUGAUUCUUGGCGCCGAAAAGUUGUAAAUAAAAGCACAAAGGCUGAAGACAUAGUACAGUCAGUUCACAAAGCUCAUUCAGCACACUGGAGUAGGUUGGGAUGGGCCGACCAACACCGUGAAAGCGAGUCCUGAUAUUUGGGACAAGUUUAUCAAGAGGCACAGCAACUUUAGGACUUUCCGGUGGAAAUGGUGCAAGCAUUAUGAGGCCUUAAAACUAAUGUACAAAUCUGCUACAGCAAUAGGGGGCCUAUGAAUUUCUUCCACCGACCCACCUCAGAGCCCUCGAUCCUAUGCAUGCAUGGAAGAGCAAUUUCUAGCAGCAUGGAACAGCCAUGGGAAAGAGCCUAUUGAUCUUGAAGAGGGCUUUGGCGAUAGUGAUGACCCACUUCGUGAGGUUGAUGAACCAAUCGUUACAGGGUCUAGGUGGCGAGUGAGAAAGAGAGGUUCGAACACCAACACGCAGUUGAAGGAGUUGAUCGACUUGUACAGGGAAAGUAUGACCAAGAAGGAGAAAGUGAAAUAUUCUACCCCUCCGGAGUUAAAGAAGAGCAAGUCCGUAACGAACCCCGAGAAACUAGUGAAGCAUAGCAUUGAGGAAGCCAUGGAUGUGCUCAAUAAAAUGCAGGGAACAAUUUCCAUACCCGAGUAUCUCGCCGAUACCGCGUGUAUUACGAAGGAUGACUGUUGGCGUCGUGCGUUCGUUUGCAUGUUCGAUGAAGCUAGGCGCGAAUAGCUGCGCAACCUUGUUCGUCCUUGAACGGCCAAAUGUUCCUCCUCAUAUGUGUUUAUUAUCUACUUUUUCGUUUUUCUGUUAUGACAUUAACCAAACCUUUAUUUUGUAUUUGUUCUGUUUGAACCUGCUUGUCUUUUAUUGACAUUAAUUUGCUUUGUGUAACUAUCUGUGAUGUGUCCUUCUAUGGUUUUGAUU
This is a non-coding RNA of Punica granatum (pomegranate), 3760 nucleotides long. The record is from RefSeq and is a predicted model, not a curated record. Lineage: Eukaryota; Viridiplantae; Streptophyta; Magnoliopsida; Myrtales; Lythraceae.